UGACUAUGCCUUCCACGAUAUAGCAUCAUUUGCUGUAAUGAAAAUCAAUGCAGUUUUCCUUAUAAACAUAUGCACUCAAGCUUUAUAUUCAUUCUACCAUGCCAUAGGCAAAUUAAAACAAAAACUUCUCAAAAUUACUUUCAAAAUGGCAAAAGCUUCCUUGUUACUUCCUUACUUGCUUCUCUUAUUUAUCGUAGUCUCUGAAUCUGGGGAAUCUGGCAUGGUUGAGAGAAGUAAUUCAUGUGUGAGGGAUCGAGAUUGCCAAUAUUUGUUUUGUCCCCGAUUUCCAAGGCCCUGCACAAAGGAAUGCAUUGAUGGAGGUUGCGGUUGCAAUUGCCAUCCACCAGCAAUGAAACAAGUCUGAUCUUUACAAUACAUGCAAUUAUAUAU
Molecule: long non-coding RNA, 390 nt
Organism: Arachis ipaensis
Lineage: Eukaryota; Viridiplantae; Streptophyta; Magnoliopsida; Fabales; Fabaceae
Source: RefSeq, a predicted model, not a curated record